CCUUCCUUCCAGUGUAUCGACUGCCCCACUUGGCUUGGUGUCAUCCGCAAACUUGCUGAGGGCGCACUCGAUGCCAUCAUUUGUGUCAUUGAUGAAGAUGUUGAAAUGUUACCUAUCACCUACCGCAUGUGGAGCAGACUGCGUAGUUGGUGAGACCACCUGGUAAGGGGCUGUGUUAUUUGCAAUUGUUACACAACAGCCCACACACGUGACUGAAAUCUUCCUGCAUUACAAAAUAAUACACCUUCUUCUGUGGCUCUUAUUCACUGACACCAGGAAGAGUUUUGUUUGCUGGGUUUGGUUUGAUUUUUUCAAGGUUUUUUUUUUUUUUUUUAAUAAUUCCACUUAAAGGAAUGCAGUCACCACAUAUUCCUUGUUUGUGUUCCAUCCUCCCUCGGACACGCUGCUACAAGCUGCCCGCUGGGGAUGAGCACCCUGACAGGUGACUGCUCUCCAGAGGACAUCACUCACUCCCAUUGCCAUCGCCCCCGUCACUGCCUGCCCUUGCAUUAUCCAGGGGCUCCUGUCCAUUGGGUACCUGGAUUGGACAACACUAUUGCACAUUUGUAUUUACUAAUGUGAGGCAGGAAGGAGAUUUACUUUGGCAAGUGAACUUAUUACCUUAGUUCCUGGCACUACCAAUUUCCUGGCACUGGAAAACUGUUUGCAAUAACAGCUCUCUUUUUGUAGCUCUUAAGCCCCAGACUGUUUCAUCAUUUUGGACCAGCAAGCAGGAAGCAAUUGAUAGGCCAUUUAACCAUGCAGUUCCCUGCUUGGAACCACCGAGUUUGAAAUGAGCUCCUUUCUAGAACCACGUGUUUUCUUAGAAAACUACAUUUCACCCCAGCUUUCCCCAUCCAGCUCUGAUUCUUUUGCUUCAAAGAAUUUAUCUUUGAACACGCUUAUCUGGCCCAGUUUCUCUGCUUUUUCUUUUCUUUUUUUUAAUGUUACGAAACCUUUUAAUGUAUUUUUCAAUAUUUAUUUAUUUAUUUAUUUGAAGUUUAAUUAAGCACCUAGUGAGAUCACUAAUGCUUGUAAAGCACUGGGAGAUAAGGGCGGCUGAGCUAAAUGCAGAUGACUCAUGGAAACAGGAAUCCUGAGAGAAGAGAGCAGGUGUCGGGCAAGAAGUUUUACUCUGUUUUACUGUGAUUAAUUAAGAAGGUAUGCAACUUCUGAUAGCAUUAAAAUGCUCCUAAUGCACGUCCCAGGACACUCCUGUUGUAUUUGGAGACCAAGCAGUACCUCAUGCAGGAGGCCUGAGUAUCACUGUGAGUCUCCGUCCCCCAUGGCCUCAAAAGAAGCAGCUGUCAGGCAGCAAACAGACAGAAGUAAUGACGUCAGUGUGCCAGAUCAGCUAGAACCUGACUGAAAGCUCAAGCUUUCAUCUCCAUCAGUAAGCUCACUUCUGCCAGAGGAACUGGUGUGCUGUCCUUGCAGCAGGAAACUCCGUUAGUGCCAGAGAAACAGCACUCCCUGCCUCAAUCAGUGCUGCUCCUUCUGAGAUGUGUCCCCGCACCGCUGCACGGUGCAGCAGCAGCAGCAGGUCACUAACAGGGCACUCUGCUGUCAUCGCCUCACUCACCUUCACCUGUGCACUUGAAACCUUUCAUCCUUCGUGGGAGCACUGUGUGUACACUAUGUGGCAAUGCAAACACUCGCUAAAGGGCAGUUCUCAGCAAGCUGGAGAGGUAGAACAGACGGAUGGAGGAAAAAUACAGCAAGGUGACUCCAUCCUCAAUAUUUUGGCUUUUUUUUUUUGACAUCUUGUUCUGUCACAUCACUGUCUUCCAUGGGAGAUGCACCUCUGGUCUGCUGCACAAUCACUUUGGGCAUUGAAUGCUCAGUAGGUGUGGAUUUUGAGGCAUUUUCCACCUUCAACAAAAUACCUUUUGUGCACAGCUGGUAGGACAUUUGUAAACAGCUGCUAAAGACAAAAAGAAAAAGAAAAAAAAACAUUGUUCAACCUUUUUUGCAGCCAUUUGUUCACUGUAAGGAGAGGGAAUGCCAAUGUUCUUGAUGACUACAAAGACACUGCAUUUUUUUUGCCAACCCAGCAGUAGGGAUCUGAAGAAACGUGCCAACAUCAAUCACCUUGAAAUAAGGCAGCAAGAGUGUCCUUUACUGUAAACUGAGUCAUGGUCAGACUGGUUUCUUAUUGGAGAUGAAAUCACAGGAAUAUCAUGCCUCAUAGGGAAUCUUCCCCUUCUUCCCAAGGACAGGGUUUUCUGUGUAGCAGAUACCAGUUUUAGCGCUCAGGAAGUGCUGAGGCACACAUAACCCCACACCACGUACCAAGGCCAGGGUUCUCCUUCGCUAACGCUGCCUGCUCCUUCUGUGCACUGCGUGAGCCAUGGCAGAGCUGCACAGCCUGCGUACAUCUCCUUGACAGAGCCUGAGAAUAGGCAGAGUCGGAGUCUGCUGCAGCCAAGGGCGGGGUGACCCCAACCAUCGUGGAUGUUGUGAAUAACUGACGGUGUUGUUAUGUCUGCUGCCUUGGUUUUGUUUCUUUUGCGCUGCUCCUGUUCCAGAACUCACAGCCACCCAAGUCUUGGCCUCUGUGAGAUUUGUUGUGAAGGAACAGAGAGGAGAUCCAAGAAACCAGCCCACCCCUGUUCAGGAAUCUUUGCUGAAUGCUUUGCAAUUCCUAAGGGGAAAAAUGACUAAAGCUGAAAUAAGAUCAAACUCUUGGCAUCAUGAGGAACACCCCAGGUACGCUGACAACAUUUACUGGGCAAAGAAACAGUGUCUGUGGUGUAAACAGCAGCACAGCAUAUAGUCUGACUUCUGAACUACCCUUACUGCUUAUGCAGACCUACCGCUAUGGAUGUUUUCUGCCGGUUGAUUUUGGUUAAACAUACCUAUUUUUACGAGUGGAAAUUGAUUUAAAACUUGCGUUGAAAGGAAUAUUGUGUCAUCUCUUUUCAUUAGUCUGCAAUAUUCUGAAGGUUUCCUUAAAGCUGCAUUAAACUUUUUGCCGAGCAGCAGUACCACAUACAAAUGCAAGCUCUGCUUAUCUUUAAUGUUACAAGGUAUAAGCAAAAUAAAACGAUUCUGCAGCGCAACGUUCCAAUUCACAACUCAGUGUAGAUAACACAGAAUUUGGGGAGUUAUAAGAAAGAGCCAAAAGUACAGAUGCAGUGUUUUGAGGAAAAUCCUACUCCUGUGUUUUGUUUUGUUUUUUUUGUAAUAAAUGCCAACGGUGCUCUACUCUCACAGUACUUCCUUUGUUCCAGCACAAGGUCUGCCUGCACCAGGAAACAAAACUCAACCUGUGGGCUUGAAUCGGAGCCUGCGCUAUGUCACAAUAUCACAUAUACUCACAAUACCAGAUUUCUUCUGCUGUGACUAAAUUUAUGUAAUUGACGUAAUUUAGAUCAGUUGAACUAGUUAACAUGAAAUGUACUCUUCAAACGUAUUUCAUCACCUAGUUCCAUUUUGGCAGCAGCUGAUGUAGCACACGCACGUAUACAUUCAAAAUUAACAGCAUGGUAACAUUUUGGAAUGCUGUGUCCAGAUGUGGGGUCCUCAGUACAGGAGAGAUGUGGACCUGUUGGAGUGUGUCCAGAGGAGGGCCACAAAAAUAUCCAAGGGAUGGAACACCUCUCCUUUGAGGACAGGCUGAGAGAGCUGGGGCUGUUCAGCCUGCAGAAGAGAAGGCUGAGAGGUAACCUGAGAGCGGCCUUUCGGAAUCUAAAGAGCGGGGUAGAAGAAGGAAGGGAACAGGCUCUGUAGAGGGGUCUGUUGUGAUAGGAUGAGAGGUAAUGAUUUCAAACCAGAAGAGGGGGGAUUAAAAUUGGAUAUAAGAAAAGGUUUACUGCAGUAAGGAUGGUGAGGUGCUGGAACAGGUUGCCCAGAGAGGUGGUACACACCCCAUCCCUUGAGACAUUCAAGAUCAGGCUAGACAGGGCUCUGAGCACCUGAUCUAGCUGUAGGUGUCCCUGUUCAUUGCAGUGGGACUCGAUGACUGUUAAAGCUCCCCUUCAACUCAAACAAUUCUGUCAUUCUGUGAUUUCCCUCAGAUUGAAUUAUAGCCCCUUUCCCUCCAUGACUUUAUUUCCACCUGCACUUUCCAUUUUCCAUCCCAAAUAUUCAGUAGGGAUAGCUGAUAAAAAUAAAAUUAUUUUGAUUUAAUUCAAACUUAACCAAAGUUGCCUUGGAGCACGGCAUCUAUGAUGAAGAAUUCACUUAUCAGUAACCGAUUGAAGGUACAUGGUCGUUAUUACAAUGUACUUUACUGCAGAAAAACUGUAUCAGCAGUUAUGUGUAAAUAAAGAUUAGAUUUUCAACCAGAACAUUGCCUGAUAAGAAACAUAUUCAUUUUGUCUGAGAAGGCCACCAGAGAACUAAGAGUCAUCUUGUUUGUGGGGCUCUGGGGAGAAGAAACAUUCAAACAUUUUAAAUGUGGCGUUUGUUCAUACCUACUAUUUGUGAUAGAUGCUCAGUAGAAUGGGAACAGAAACCAGCACCACCACUCCAUUCAACUGUAAAAGUACAACUUAAUAAGGCGUGGAAAUAGUUUAGAUUAGUGCAACAAAUGAAUGAACAAUAACUGAGUGAUACGUAUUGCACAUCGCACGUGAAAUUACUACCUUGAGUUUGUCAAUAAUUUUUUUUGUGUAAUUCACAUACUGUUUGUACUUCAUACGUACUCAGUUGUAAUGCCUGCAGACAAACACAAAUUCAUUAAGAUACACUUUUAGAGCUGGUUUGUUUUUGCCAUGGUUUUGCUACACCUGGUGGGUAUCAGUGUUGAGCUGAGAAAUCAGUGCAGCUGGAAUGCAAAACACAUAAGGAAAUGCAGAAAUCCAUUUGUAGUAGGGAGGUGCCCUAGGCGACAGUGACUGAAACAAAUAUUUGACUUCUCUUUUCUGCUCAAAUCUGGCUGCCCACAAACAAGAAGUCAGCUCGCCUUAAGAAGCUGUCCAUGCUCUGAGAUAAAGGCAGGAGACUGACCUGUCUGUUUAGAGCAGAGGGAGGCCACAUGUGACAAGUGCUCGCUACCGUCCUGAACUCAUUUCUCUACGUGGCACUCAUGUAUUGCUGUGGUAGAAAUGGUCUAAGAGCAUGAUUAGAAAAAAUGUUUUGGAAUGCAGCUCAAAAUAAUUGUAAAAAAAUCUGCUAGAAAUACAGAAAAGCAAAAUGUGUACUUUUAAAACACUUAAGAUCUACAUGUGAUCGGAUCUUUAAGCAUAGCAAAAAUGGUAAAUCAUUUCAGGUGAGAACUGAGCAUCGCAUCUCAUAAUACAGCACCAGUCAGUAUAACUGUACUUUAGAAAUGAGAAAGUGUAAUUCUCUACUUUGUACCUACAUACAUUUCACUUUGCAGUGAAGAUGGAUAAACCACAAAAAUAUACAAAUGAGACCAGGAAUCAGGAACACAGGAGAUGCUCUACAGCAUUGAAGCCAUCGCUUCUGGCAGAGAAGAUACUCAUUCCUGGUGUUUCACAACCUGAAGUUUAAAAUGCAGGUUAGAAGCGGAUGAACGUGCAGCAUUCCUCCUCCACUAAACCACCACACCUUUGGAUAAAGGACAGAUGUUCAGUUCUUGCUUUGGGAGCUGUAAUGCAAGGCAUUGCUGACGCUGUUUCUGGGAAACUUUCACACGCUAUGAAAGAGAGAGAUCCACAGUGACAGUAAUCCCUUAAGGGUCGUCCUGCUCCUUCAGUCCUCUUUCCAAGAAACAAACAAACAACAACAACAAAAAAACCAACCAGCAAACAAAAAACCCCACCAUCUUUAUUAAUUGUAGAAUAGAGGCUGAUCAGGCCCACUGUACAGUCAGAGAAGUUUCUCUAAGCACAGAUUUCUAGUGUGAAGAACAAACAGGGCAGCAACUGUUCUUGUUGAAAGAAGGCACACUUUAAAACGGUGUAACGCUUUCCAUACAAAGCUGAGUGUGCUCCAGAGAACCUUUACAACUCUGUAGUCGUAGAAGGUCUCUGGUAGUUAGUCAUCAGUUCUUUCUCUCCUUUUUUUUGUUCUAAUUUUUAGUAC
Gallus gallus (chicken) is the source of this 5994-nucleotide long non-coding RNA. RefSeq lists it as uncharacterized. The transcript has 2 exons. The record is from RefSeq and is a predicted model, not a curated record. Lineage: Eukaryota; Metazoa; Chordata; Aves; Galliformes; Phasianidae.